GCAGAACGCGAAGAACCUUACCUACUCUUGACAUCCAGAGAACUUAGCAGAGAUGCUUUGGUGCCUUCGGGAACUCUGAGACAGGUGCUGCAUGGCUGUCGUCAGCUCGUGUUGUGAAAUGUUGGGUUAAGUCCCGCAACGAGCGCAACCCUUAUCCUUUGUUGCCAGCGGUUCGGCCGGGAACUCAAAGGAGACUGCCAGUGAUAAACUGGAGGAAGGUGGGGAUGACGUCAAGUCAUCAUGGCCCUUACGAGUAGGGCUACACACGUGCUACAAUGGCGUAUACAAAGAGAAGCGACCUCGCGAGAGCAAGCGGACCUCAUAAAGUACGUCGUAGUCCGGAUUGGAGUCUGCAACUCGACACCAUGAAGUCGGAAUCGCUAGUAAUCGUAGAUCAGAAUGCUACGGUGAAUACGUUCCCGGGUCUUGUACACACCG
This 438-nucleotide ribosomal RNA is filed under the name uncultured bacterium. RNAcentral describes it as "bacterial SSU rRNA". It matches the Rfam family "Bacterial small subunit ribosomal RNA", at positions 954 to 1392 of the family's 1533-position model. The record is from RNAcentral.